RNAcentral lists this ribosomal RNA (253 nucleotides) under uncultured bacterium. RNAcentral describes it as "partial 16S ribosomal RNA". It matches the Rfam family "Bacterial small subunit ribosomal RNA", at positions 524 to 776 of the family's 1533-position model. The record is from RNAcentral.
UACGAAGGGGGCUAGCGUUGCUCGGAAUCAUUGGGCGUAAAGCGCACGUAGGCGGAUUCUUAAGUCGGUGGUGAAAGCCUGGAGCUCAACUCCAGAACUGCCUUCGAUACUGAGAGUCUUGAGUCCGGGAGAGGUGAGUGGAACUGCGAGUGUAGAGGUGAAAUUCGUAGAUAUUCGCAAGAACACCAGUGGCGAAGGCGGCUCACUGGCCCGGUACUGACGCUGAGGUGCGAAAGCGUGGGGAGCAAACAGG